Long non-coding RNA from Thalassophryne amazonica, 185 nucleotides. RefSeq lists it as uncharacterized. The record is from RefSeq and is a predicted model, not a curated record. NCBI's taxonomy places the organism in Eukaryota, Metazoa, Chordata, Actinopteri, Batrachoidiformes, Batrachoididae. The transcript has 4 exons.
UCUGGGCUCUGGCUGGGACACUCAUGGACAUUCACAGAGUUGUGCUGAAGCCACUCUUUGAUGUCUUGGCUGUGUGCUUUGGGUCAUUGUCCUGCUGAAAGAUGACCUGUCGCCCCAGUAAGAGGUCAAAAGUGCUCUGAGCAGGUUUUCUUCCAAGAUUGUUGCAAACACUCAAUCAUGAUGAA